AGGUGGACGCUUAGCCAACUGAGCCACCCAGGCUCCUGAACAGCAGCCUGAAUCUUUAAGCUUUGCAGAUGACUGCUAGGCAGAGAAAGGAUUGGGGUGACCUGACUUCCUCUCUUUCAUGAGUACUCUGACUCUAACCUUCUGCUGAACCAUUAAAAAACCUACGUUUCCCAAACUAUAUUUUCUUAUUGCAGGCAUUUAUGGAGAUUGCAAUUACUUCUAGGGGGAACUGUCAUAAAUAUUGCAUUGGAAGUUGGUCAAACGUUUAUAGCUUUAUCUCGGAGAUGGAGUCACCGGUAACAUGUGUAUCUGUUUGCCAUUGGUGUUGACUAAGCCCUCCUCAAGGUACCAGAAGCAUUGUAUUUUAUUUGUGCUUCUUAUUCUGAUCGAACGAGAACAUUAUAAAGAGCCUCACUGAGUCUACAGAAAUGGCAACUGUGUUGCUUUAGGAAACUGGCUCAUAAAUUUAUCAGAAAGAGCUGCAUUUAUUGGUUUAGGCCUGUUUAUUUGUACCAAAUGCAAAGAUUUGCUUUAUUCAAGAAGUAAGCAAAUUUCAGUCUUACUUUUUAAUUGUCAUUAUGUAAUUGGUUGUCGAUAAACAAGAUAAGGGGAACAUUUCUUAGCUGUUAGUGGUCAAAUGGAUAAGGCCUUGGCCUGAAGACUUCAUCAUAAAAAUCCAUUCCUUGAUGAAAGGCACUUACAAAGACCAGCCUCCUGAAAUACCACAUGACAAAUUUACAGAACUCUAUGGUUUUGUGAUUCCUUGCAUCUACUCAUCCAUGGGGAAGAAACAUGCACAUUCAAAAGCAGCUCCUGGCCACCGUGCUCCAUGCUCCAAACCCUGUGUGUGGCUUUUGUGGCAGUGCCACGUCAUGGGCUGUCAGGGACGCAGUUAUUCUUCCUCACGAGGGAGUGCUGAGGACCACUGGCCACUGUGAACCCUUUUCCCAGCCAGCAUGCUUCGUUUUCCAUUUGUGUGAUUUUCUGUCAUGAUAAAGACAGAGUUUUCACCUUGUUGCAGAACAGUUAGCAUCAUGACUUUGUUUCACAAAUUACAGAAUUAAUAUAAAUUUGGGCUGGUUUUUUUUUUUUUUUUCCAUCUCUGCCUUGUUUCAUGCUGCUUUACCUAUCAUCCCUGGGGCCUCAAGGAGCCAUAUUAUGAUCCUAUAGGUCCUGGAGCCCGUCAGACUUUGUCUUCUAGCUCAAGUGUUGCUGAAGACUCCAGUGCAGGGAAGGGAGAUGGGUGCAGGUGUAAUCAGAGAGACAGGCUGUUUCUGUGAUUUGUGAGAACUGUCAGAUAUACAAUUAUAAAUAUAAGGUGCAGGAAGAUGAGAUUAAGAUGCUAGUUGGGGAAAAAGAAAAUCCAGUUAAGGUAUCCCCAGUUUCCAAAGGGAAUAUAUAUUGCCAGAGUAAAAUAAUGGGCAAGAAGGCAGUUUUCAUUAUGCUGUGGCCUUAGCUCCAAACACAAUGCAGAACUCCAUUGCACAGAGACAUAAUCUGCCUGUACCAAGGGCAGGCUUAGGAUCUCUUACCAGUGCAGUUUUGAGGGGAGGCAAUCACUUGGAUUCCCACCCCUGAGUCUCAGAUCUCCCUGCUUGAAUGGCAAGGGUCUGAGGCAACCAUAGCACUAGCUGCAGCCGCUGUGAGGCUCACUCUUCCCACUGUCUCAGUACAGCGAAAUGGUUCUAAAAAGAGAGAAGGCAGCCAAAUGAAACAGAGACGCCUGGGUUUUUGGCGUGUCUCUGCCUUGCCUCUCAGGAUUAUGGAAAAACAGCGUCAGAAGGCAGAAUGGAUAUUUAUGCAUACAGUCUCUAACUCUUUUGAAAGAUAGGCACCCAAGGGCAAUAGUCAGAUUCAUAGAAAAACUCCUCCCCCAUGAAGAUGAGCUGAGCACAGGGUCUGCAAAACAACGUAUGUGUAGGUAAGCUCGUCACCAAUUUUACUCAUGUAACGUAGAGCAUUCCGUUUAUAAAUAAUAAUAAAAUAUACAAUACUUUGAUUAUGAAUUCUGUAUCAGCAAUUGAUCCUUCCGGAAACUUUCAUUGAUUUUUGCCAGACUCAUGUAUCCAUAGCCAAACUGUGAUUGCAACUGAUGAAUGAGUGUAGUUCCGACAUGAAUGUUGAUUCAUAUUUUCAUUCGCAUUAACACGUAAGAUGGAAAUAAAAUAGGGAUGUAUGCCAGAUCUUCACUCAUUUGUCAAUGAAGUGAAUGACUUUGCUAAAUACUAUCAGAAUGUAAUUUUUGAACACUGUAAGACUAAAUCAUCAAUUUUUGUCCUAUUCACAAUAUAACAGCUACAGACACAUUUUUGACUCUAACCUGCAUUAUUAACUUCUUUUCCAUCACUUUGUUAGAUGUAAACAAUAAACACAAUGAUAAAUCAAGCUUUGAGUUACUUCAUCUGAUGAUUUCCACACUGUAAAUACAAUCUCCGAGGCUGAUGUCAAGCUCCAAGAGAAGAGUGUACCUGCCCUGCUCUCUGAAACCAGAGGAAGUGGCUUCUAUCAUGUCUUUGUCUCAGAGCAUCAUGCAACCUUGGCAAGCAGAGGGCUGUGGCGAUUAAGAGCAAGACUGUUCAGAGUCUGGCCCUGCCACUCACUACCCUUGUGAACGUGGCCAGGCCUCUGUUUCCUCAAGCUAGGGGGUGAUGUUCAUAACAGCAUCCGCCUCAUAGAACUGCCACGCGAGGGAAGUGUGGCGAUGUCUGGGAAGCUCCCAGGGCGGUAUCUGGCCCCAAAUGAGAACUGACUAAACUUCAUGUAUCCUCUGUUUCCCCGCUUCUUCCCCCUAUGUCACGACCUCCGUCUGCACCAUCAUAUUUAUCCUCUUCACUGUAUCCUCUUCAU
Long non-coding RNA from Neofelis nebulosa (Clouded leopard), 2847 nucleotides. RefSeq lists it as uncharacterized. The record is from RefSeq and is a predicted model, not a curated record. Lineage: Eukaryota; Metazoa; Chordata; Mammalia; Carnivora; Felidae. The transcript is spliced from 3 exons.